Molecule: non-coding RNA, 132 nt
Organism: Brachypodium distachyon (stiff brome)
Lineage: Eukaryota; Viridiplantae; Streptophyta; Magnoliopsida; Poales; Poaceae
Source: Rfam
CUCCUGCUCCCUCCGUCCACCGAAGAAUGUCUCAAUUUCGAUUAAAUUUGAAUGCAUCUAUACACUAAGUGAUGUAUACAUUCAAAUUUUGACAAACUUGAGACAUCUUUUGUUGGACGGAGGGAGUACCGA